RNAcentral lists this ribosomal RNA (784 nucleotides) under Centris dimidiata. Its description in RNAcentral is "SSU rRNA". It matches the Rfam family "Eukaryotic small subunit ribosomal RNA", at positions 457 to 1201 of the family's 1831-position model. The record is from RNAcentral. Lineage: Eukaryota; Metazoa; Arthropoda; Insecta; Hymenoptera; Apidae.
CGGGGAGGUAGUGACGAAAAAUAACGAUACGGGACUCAUCCGAGGCCCCGUAAUCGGAAUGAGUACACUUUAAAUCCUUUAACAAGGACCAAUUGGAGGGCAAGUCUGGUGCCAGCAGCCGCGGUAAUUCCAGCUCCAAUAGCGUAUAUUAAAGUUGUUGCGGUUAAAAAGCUCGUAGUUGAAUCUGUGUGUCACAGUGUCGGUUCACCGCUCGCGGUGUUUAACUGGCAUUAUGUGGUACGUCCUACCGGUGGGCUUAGCUCCGAGCGGGCGGUCCAACUAAUAUCCCAUCGCGGUGCUCUUCACUGAGUGUCGAGGUGGGCCGGUACGUUUACUUUGAACAAAUUAGAGUGCUUAAAGCAGGCUACCUUCGCCUGAAUACUGUGUGCAUGGAAUAAUGGAAUAGGACCUCGGUUCUAUUUUGUUGGUUUUCGGAACCCCGAGGUAAUGAUUAAUAGGGACAGAUGGGGGCAUUCGUAUUGCGACGUUAGAGGUGAAAUUCUUGGAUCGUCGCAAGACGUACAGAAGCGAAAGCAUUUGCCAAAAAUGUUUUCAUUAAUCAAGAACGAAAGUUAGAGGUUCGAAGGCGAUCAGAUACCGCCCUAGUUCUAACCAUAAACGAUGCCAGCUAGCGAUCCGCCGAAGUUCCUCCGAUGACUCGGCGGGCAGCUUCCGGGAAACCAAAGCUUUUGGGUUCCGGGGGAAGUAUGGUUGCAAAGCUGAAACUUAAAGGAAUUGACGGAAGGGCACCACCAGGAGUGGAGCCUGCGGCUUAAUUUGACUC